Molecule: small nuclear RNA, 19 nt
Filed under: Arabidopsis thaliana (thale cress)
Lineage: Eukaryota; Viridiplantae; Streptophyta; Magnoliopsida; Brassicales; Brassicaceae
Description: snRNA_13182
Source: RNAcentral
UCCGAAUUUUUUUCCGGCU